Gossypium hirsutum (cotton) is the source of this 126-nucleotide non-coding RNA. Lineage: Eukaryota; Viridiplantae; Streptophyta; Magnoliopsida; Malvales; Malvaceae. The record is from Rfam.
AAUAAGAGAAUGACUACAAAUCAGAUUUUUGCUCCUGAUUUUCAGUUUUUUCCUCCUGAUAAAAUUCAAAUCUAACUAAAAAUGCUAAGAAUCAGGAGUAAAAAUCUAAUUUGUCAUUCUCUUAUU